This is a non-coding RNA of Erinaceus europaeus (western European hedgehog), 156 nucleotides long. The record is from Rfam. Lineage: Eukaryota; Metazoa; Chordata; Mammalia; Eulipotyphla; Erinaceidae.
AUACUUGCCUGGCAGAAGAAACACUAUGAUCACAAAGGUAGUUUAACCAGGACUAGGUUUAUCCACUGCACACUGGAUGUGCUGAGCCCUGCAAUUUCUCCAAAUGUAGGAAACUUGACUGCAUGUUGUAUGGUGGUGGAGGACACGCAUUCUCCC